RNAcentral lists this ribosomal RNA (492 nucleotides) under uncultured bacterium. RNAcentral's name for it is "partial 16S ribosomal RNA". It matches the Rfam family "Bacterial small subunit ribosomal RNA", at positions 29 to 507 of the family's 1533-position model. The record is from RNAcentral.
AGUGAACGCUGGCGGUUGGCCUAACACAUGCAAGUCGAACGGCAGCACAGUAAGAGCUUGCUCUUACGGGUGGCGAGUGGCGGACGGGUGAGGAAUACAUCGGAAUCUACUUUUUCGUGGGGGAUAACGUAGGGAAACUUACGCUAAUACCGCAUACGACCUACGGGUGAAAGCGGGGGAUCUUCGGACCUUGCGCGAUUGAAUGAGCCGAUGUCGGAUUAGCUAGUUGGCGGGGUAAAGGCCCACCAAGGCGACGAUCCGUAGCUGGUCUGAGAGGAUGAUCAGCCACACUGGAACUGAGACACGGUCCAGACUCCUACGGGAGGCAGCAGUGGGGAAUAUUGGACAAUGGGCGCAAGCCUGAUCCAGCCAUACCGCGUGGGUGAAGAAGGCCUUCGGGUUGUAAAGCCCUUUUGUUGGGAAAGAAAAGCAGCAGGUUAAUACCCCGCUGUUCUGACGGUACCCAAAGAAUAAGCACCGGCUAACUUCGUG